This 245-nucleotide ribosomal RNA is filed under the name uncultured bacterium. RNAcentral's name for it is "partial 16S ribosomal RNA". It matches the Rfam family "Bacterial small subunit ribosomal RNA", at positions 528 to 772 of the family's 1533-position model. The record is from RNAcentral.
UAGGGAGCGAGCGUUGUCCGGAUUUACUGGGUGUAAAGGGCGUGUAGGCGGAGACGCAAGUCAGGAGUGAAAUCCCCGGGCUCAACCCGGGAACUGCUUUUGAAACUGCGUCCCUUGAGUAUCGGAGAGGCAGGCGGAAUUCCUAGUGUAGCGGUGAAAUGCGUAGAUAUUAGGAGGAACACCAGUGGCGAAGGCGGCCUGCUGGACGACAACUGACGCUGAGGCGCGAAAGCGUGGGGAGCAAA